GACGAACGCUGGCGGCGUGCUUAACACAUGCAAGUCGAACGAUGAAGCUGGAGCUUGCUCCGGUGGAUUAGUGGCGAACGGGUGAGUAACACGUGAGAAAUCUGCCCUUGACUCUGGGAUAACUGCGGGAAACUGUAGCUAAUACCGGAUAUUUUCCUUGGUGGGCAUCCACUGGGGAAGAAAGAAUUUCGGUCAAGGAUGAUCUCGCGGCCUAUCAGCUAGUUGGUGAGGUAAUGGCUCACCAAGGCGACGACGGGUAGCCGGCCUGAGAGGGUGACCGGCCACACUGGGACUGAGACACGGCCCAGACUCCUACGGGAGGCAGCAGUGGGGAAUAUUGCACAAUGGGCGCAAGCCUGAUGCAGCAACGCCGCGUGAGGGAUGAAGGCCUUCGGGUUGUAAACCUCUUUUAGCAGGGAAGAAGCUAAAGUGACGGUACCUGCAGAAAAAGCACCGGCUAACUACGUGCCAGCAGCCGCAGUAA
Molecule: ribosomal RNA, 484 nt
Filed under: uncultured bacterium
Lineage: Bacteria
Description: partial 16S ribosomal RNA
Rfam family: Bacterial small subunit ribosomal RNA
Source: RNAcentral